This 532-nucleotide ribosomal RNA is filed under the name Xylariales sp. PIMO_367. RNAcentral's name for it is "eukaryotic LSU rRNA". The stretch from base 150 to 303 matches the Rfam family "5.8S ribosomal RNA". The record is from RNAcentral. Lineage: Eukaryota; Fungi; Ascomycota; Sordariomycetes; Xylariales.
GUGAACAUACCUCGCGUUGCCUCGGCAGGUGGCGUCCUACCCCGUGAUACCUACCCUGUAGGACCUACCCGGUAGGCGACCCUGCCGACGGCCCCCGAAACUCUGUUUUUAUAGCAUUGGACUUCUGAAAAGAUAACUAAAUAAGUUAAAACUUUCAACAACGGAUCUCUUGGUUCUGGCAUCGAUGAAGAACGCAGCGAAAUGCGAUAAGUAAUGUGAAUUGCAGAAUUCAGUGAAUCAUCGAAUCUUUGAACGCACAUUGCGCCCACUAGUAUUCUGGUGGGCAUGCCUGUUCGAGCGUCAUUUCAACCCUUAAGCCCCCGUUGCUUAGUGUUGGGAGCCUACUGGAACUCUCCUGUAGCUCCCCAAAGUCAGUGGCGGAGCCGGUUCGCACUCCAGACGUAGUAGCUUUUACACAUCGCCUGUAGCUUGGACCCGGUCCCCUGCCGUAAAACACCCCCCAAUUUUAUAGGUUGACCUCGGAUCAGGUAGGAAUACCCGCUGAACUUAAGCAUAUCAAUAAGCGGAGGAA